UCCCGCGCGAAGAAUGCCUCGUAAUGUAUUGCAUUUUACUCGCUUUUCACCAAAAUCUCGACAAGAGUGGUGAAA
Non-coding RNA from Caenorhabditis elegans, 75 nucleotides. The record is from Ensembl. Lineage: Eukaryota; Metazoa; Nematoda; Chromadorea; Rhabditida; Rhabditidae.